UACGUAGGGUGCGAGCGUUAAUCGGAAUUACUGGGCGUAAAGCGUGCGCAGGCGGUCUGUUAAGACCGAUGUGAAAUCCCCGGGCUUAACCUGGGAACUGCAUUGGUGACUGGCGGGCUUUGAGUGUGGCAGAGGGGGGGUAGAAUUCCACGUGUAGCAGUGAAAUGCGUAGAGAUGUGGAGGAAUACCGAUGGCGAAGGCAGCCCCCCUGGGCCAACACUGACGCUCAUGCACGAAAGCGUGGGGAGCAAACAGG
Molecule: ribosomal RNA, 256 nt
Filed under: uncultured bacterium
Lineage: Bacteria
Description: partial 16S ribosomal RNA
Rfam family: Bacterial small subunit ribosomal RNA
Source: RNAcentral